UACGGAGGGUGCAAGCGUUAUCCGGAUUCACUGGGUUUAAAGGGUGCGUAGGUGGGCAGGUAAGUCAGUGGUGAAAUCUCCGAGCUUAACUCGGAAACUGCCGUUGAUACUAUUUGUCUUGAAUAUUGUGGAGGUAAGCGGAAUAUGUCAUGUAGCGGUGAAAUGCUUAGAUAUGACAUAGAACACCAAUUGCGAAGGCAGCUUACUACACAACGAUUGACGCUGGAGGCACGAAAGCGUGGGGAUCAAACAGG
RNAcentral lists this ribosomal RNA (254 nucleotides) under uncultured bacterium. RNAcentral describes it as "partial 16S ribosomal RNA". It matches the Rfam family "Bacterial small subunit ribosomal RNA", at positions 524 to 776 of the family's 1533-position model. The record is from RNAcentral.